GGUCUUCCAUUGAAGAGGCUGAAAAUUACAAACUUCUACAUUAUAAAUAGCAUAAAUUUUGACUAAUAUCACAAAAGCUAAGGUUAAGUUAAGUUAUUGGACUUGAUUAAUUAUCAGAAAUAAAAGCUUUUAUCAUUAAUAACUUUUUGAAGAAGAGUACAUACUUAGCUUGUCAGUUGUCAUCCAGAGUUGCCCACAAAUUCAAACAAAAACUAUUGCAGCUUCUAUCAAAUAGUGUCUCGCUUAGGAUAAGAAAAGUUGGAUUUGACAUAAAGCAUAUAGAAAUGGCGUAUGAGCCGGAAAAUAAAAGCAAGAACCAAUUUUGCAACUUGUGCUAGAGAGAGUAGAGAGACCUCCAUGUCCAUGAAAGUGUACUACUGUAUUAUUGCUUAGAAUAAAUAAUGAUUAAAGCAUGAAAUAACUAAUGGGUUUUAUUUAUUUUUAUUUAUUAUUAGAGGUUUUAAUUUAGAUAAUGACCUUAAUCUUUUUGUUGAAGUUCCUCUGUGUCCUCUUGCUUCUGUACUUUUCAAUCCUCUCUUUCUUCUCCUCUGGACUGUAUUUGCAUGCUUUGCUCAUACUCUCAAUUAUCACACUGCUCUCACUUGACAAUGGACUGUCUGCCUUGUGUCCAUGCUGCAAAUCACCAGUGCUAAAAACCCUUCUCACAUGGCUGGUGUCCAAGUCCAGAAAAUCCUGAGGGCAUGUUAAAUGACAAUGAUACCCAUUCUUUUGAAGGGAAUGGCUACUAAUACUCCUCUGAAUCAAACUCGGUUGCUGAGUCGUUCCACAACUCGCCAGCGAACUCGGCGAACCGUAGCUACUGCACCCACUAGUAGUACUGCUACCGGCCAUCUCGUAUGCAGCCAAUUGGUCCGGGAUGAUUAAGUGAGCUGGCGACGGGAACUGACCUGACACAGACAGGAAAGCCGAUGGAGCAGGACCGUCGGGAGACGAAGGAUGGUGCCCGAGGACAAAGUCGGCGCGUGGGAAUGUGGAGUUACCGUGACCGUACAUGGCGCGUGAAGAUAAUAAUGCGAAUAGCUAAGUUUUGGAGAGAGGAUUUUUGGAAGAAGGCGAAGACACUGAAGCUGAAUGGCUUGAGAGCUUUAAGUACUUAUAAACUGUGGAAGCUCCAAGAGAAAAGGAAAGACGAGCUGGAUGAUGACGUGGACGAUGACGUCAUCUUAGAGUGCGUUGACUUCUUUCUAGAUUUUAUAAUUUUU
Molecule: unclassified non-coding RNA, 1223 nt
Filed under: Hevea brasiliensis (rubber tree)
Lineage: Eukaryota; Viridiplantae; Streptophyta; Magnoliopsida; Malpighiales; Euphorbiaceae
Source: RNAcentral